Aphis gossypii (cotton aphid) is the source of this 585-nucleotide long non-coding RNA. RefSeq lists it as uncharacterized. NCBI's taxonomy places the organism in Eukaryota, Metazoa, Arthropoda, Insecta, Hemiptera, Aphididae. The record is from RefSeq and is a predicted model, not a curated record. The transcript is spliced from 3 exons.
CUUUCAUGAAGUUUCAGCUUCCGUGGAGUAUUUGCUGAAAGAUAUUUGGGUGUUUGAACACCCAAACUACUCGUUUCAAUUUCAGACGAUGUUGAUUUAUCUGACAUGGUCACUGACAUGUUAGUAGUAGACAAGUCUAAGAUAUGAAAAAUAUGUAUCAUUUACCAGCAAUAGAUGUCGAACAUGAUGGUGUGUUAUCGCUAAUAAGAGUGUCAUUUAAUGGAACUUGACAUUGUUCAACUAAUGGAACCUCUUCAGUUAAAUUAUCAAAUAUUGUUGGUAUUGCAUCUGCUUUCAGUCUAUUUUUUUGGAAGUUGCUAAACAUUUUGUCUUCGAAAAGCAAAGAGCAUAGCUUUUACUUUUUGUUCAAUAUAACAGGAUCAAUCAACAUUAAUGAUCUGCAAUUGCAUUUUUCCAACCAAAUAGUACAUCUAAAAAUUGUCAGAAGAUUUGCAAAUAAAGAAGCUGCUAAGCAAUUUGAAUGGCGUUUUCAGAAUUGAUUUACCAUAAGCUUGUAAAUAAAAAUAUGUUGUAUAUAAAGGGUUUAAGUAGUAUGAAAAGAAAGAAGUUUUUAUAAAAUAUGGG